UACUAGAGUAGCACUCGCAUAUCAAUAAGCGGAGGAAAAGAAACUAACAAGGAUUCCCCUAGUAACGGCGAGUGAAGCGGGAAGAGCUCAAAUUUGAAAUCUUAAAGGGUUUCCCUUUACGAAUUGUAGUUUAAAGAAGUGUUUUCUGUUGAGGUUCUGGUAAAAGUUCUUUGGAAUAGGACAUCAUAGAGGGUGAGAAUCCCGUAUUUGACCUUUACUUUCAACUUUGUGAUACACUUUCAAAGAGUCGGAUUGUUUGGGAAUGCAGUCCAAAAUGGGUGGUAAAUUUCAUCUAAAGCUAAAUAUUGGCGAGAGACCGAUAGCGAACAAGUACCGUGAGGGAAAGAUGAAAAGAACUUUGAAAAGAGAGUUAAACAGUACGUGAAAUUGUCAAAAGGGAAGCGUUUGACACCAGUGUUGUUUUUCUGAAAAUCAAUUAAAGAACUGUUUAUGCUAAGCUGUUUAGACUUUAUCAGCUAUCUGUUUAGUUUUAGGCUUUUCUUUAAUGCACUUUUCAGUUAACAAGUCAACAUCAAUUUCUUUUGCUGUAAAAAAGCUUGAGGAAGGUGGCUUGAGAUUCGUCUUAAGUGUUUAUAGCCUCUUGCCUAUGCAGUCGGAGAGAUUGAGGUCUGCAGCGUAGAUCCUUCGGGGCUAAAUGCAUUUGUGCUAAGUUAUAGCAUUUUAUAGACAACUUGUUGACUAUGAUUUGUCUUGUAGCUUACUCGCUUAUGUUAUUUUACCUACGCUUAGGAUGUUGAGCGCAUGUCUCUCUCU
Molecule: ribosomal RNA, 774 nt
Filed under: uncultured Neocallimastigales
Lineage: Eukaryota; Fungi; Neocallimastigomycota; Neocallimastigomycetes; Neocallimastigales
Description: partial large subunit ribosomal RNA
Rfam family: Eukaryotic large subunit ribosomal RNA
Source: RNAcentral